Molecule: long non-coding RNA, 523 nt
Organism: Haplochromis burtoni (Burton's mouthbrooder)
Lineage: Eukaryota; Metazoa; Chordata; Actinopteri; Cichliformes; Cichlidae
Exons: 3
Source: RefSeq, a predicted model, not a curated record
GCUUCAGCUUCAGCCUCAUUAAUGUUCUUCAUGAUCAAUCAUUAUUUCUAUCAGCAUUUCUUAUUUGCUGUUUUUUUUAAAACAAAAACUUAUAAUAAUUACUAACAUUUACUAAGAAAAAAAGGUUUUUAUUUAAGCAACAGUACAGAAAACAUGAUCACCAUUACUACCCCCCCACCGCACGCACACCAUGUGAUCAGACACACAAUCACACAGAAGAAGAAGCACUGCUGUGUCUCAGAGCGUGCAGAGGUGUUCAGCUGUGAAGUCGGAUCGAGGCAAGCAGGUCAGUCAGUCGGUGGACUUUCAGCAGUGACAUGAUGGCAGCAGCAGCACCUGGUGAGUCCAGACAGACUGCAGAUUAUGAUUUCAACAAACCAGAACACAGCAGCUCAGAGUCUGAGGACUGUAAGUCAAACUAACAAUGCUGCACGACAAAAUUAUUUAAACUGUUUGACUCCACAGCUAGUCACAGUCAGUGUUGGGAAGGUUACUUUUAAAACGUAUUCCACUACAGAUUACA